This 433-nucleotide ribosomal RNA is filed under the name uncultured bacterium. RNAcentral's name for it is "partial 16S ribosomal RNA". It matches the Rfam family "Bacterial small subunit ribosomal RNA", at positions 29 to 507 of the family's 1533-position model. The record is from RNAcentral.
AACGAACGCUGGCGGCAUGCCUAACACAUGCGAGUCGAACGAGACCUUCGGGUCUAGUGGCGCACGGGUGCGUAACGCGUGGGAACCUGCCCUUAGGUUCGGAAUAACUCCCCGAAAGGGGUGCUAAUACCGGAUAAUGUCUUCGGACCAAAGAUUUAUCGCCUUUGGAUGGGCCCGCGUUGGAUUAGCUAGUUGGUAGGGUAAAAGCCUACCAAGGCGACGAUCCAUAGCUGGUCUGAGAGGAUGAUCAGCCACACUGGGACUGAGACACGGCCCAGACUCCUACGGGAGGCAGCAGUGGGGAAUAUUGGACAAUGGGGGAAAGCCUGAUCCGGCAAUGCCGCGUGAGUGAUGAAGGCCUUAGGGUUGUAAAGCUCUUUUACCCGGGAUGAUAAUGACAGUACCGGGAGAAUAAGCUCCGGCUAACUCCGUG